GGGUGCGAUCAUACCAGCACUAAAGCACCG
This 30-nucleotide ribosomal RNA is filed under the name Camellia sinensis. The record is from RNAcentral. Lineage: Eukaryota; Viridiplantae; Streptophyta; Magnoliopsida; Ericales; Theaceae.